UACGGAGGGUGCAAGCGUUAAUCGGAAUUACUGGGCGUAAAGGGUGCGUAGGUGGUUUAUUAAGUUAUCUGUAAAAUCCCCAGGCUUAACCUGGGCAGGUCAGAUAAGACUGGUAGACUCGAGUAUGGGAGAGGGUAGUGGAAUUUCCGGUGUAGCGGUGAAAUGCGUAGAGAUCGGAAGGAACACCAGUGGCGAAGGCGGCUACCUGGCCCAAUACUGACACUGAGGCACGAAAGCGUGGGGAGCAAACAGG
This 253-nucleotide ribosomal RNA is filed under the name uncultured bacterium. RNAcentral describes it as "partial 16S ribosomal RNA". It matches the Rfam family "Bacterial small subunit ribosomal RNA", at positions 524 to 776 of the family's 1533-position model. The record is from RNAcentral.